This 407-nucleotide ribosomal RNA is filed under the name Runcina ferruginea. RNAcentral describes it as "partial 16S ribosomal RNA". It matches the Rfam family "Bacterial large subunit ribosomal RNA", at positions 1828 to 2597 of the family's 2925-position model. The record is from RNAcentral. Lineage: Eukaryota; Metazoa; Mollusca; Gastropoda; Runcinacea; Runcinidae.
AGCUUAAAGGAAUUAUUUUAAGUUAUACCUGCCCGGUGAAUAUUUUUAACGGCUGCGGUACCUUGACCGUACUAAGGUAGCAUAAUCAAUUGGCUUUUAAAUGGAGUCUGGAAUGAACGGGAAAUUGGAGUUUAACUUUCUUAUAAAAAUUUUAUUGAAAUUACUAUAAAAGUGAAAAAGCUUUUAUAAGAAAAAAGACGAGAAGACCCUUGGAGUUUUUCUAUUUUUGUUGGGGCGACAUUAAAAAUUUAACUUUUAAUUUGUAAUUAUCAACUAUUAGUUAUAAUUUAUAAACUACCCAAGGGAUAACAGCAUAAUUCUAUUUGAGAUUGUGACCUCGAUGUUGGACUAGGAAAUAUAAUAACUAGCAGUUAUUAUUAUUUGUUCUGUUCGAACUUUAUUCUCCU